GAUGAACGCUGGCGGCGUGCCUAAUACAUGCAAGUCGAGCGAACGGACGAGAAGCUUGCUUCUCUGAUGUUAGCGGCGGACGGGUGAGUCACACGUGUAUAACCUACCUAUCAGACUGGGAUAACUUCGGGAAACCGGAGCUAAUACCGGAUAAUAUUUUGCACCGCAUUGUUCAAAAGUGAAAGACGGUCUUGCUGUCACUUAUAGCUGGAUCCGCGCUGCAUUAGCUAGUUGGUAAGGUAACGGCUUACCAAGGCAACGAUGCAUAGCCGACCUGAGAGGGUGAUAGGCCACACUGGAACUGAGACACGGUCCAGACUCCUAAGGGAGGCAGCAGUAGGGAAUCUUACGCAAUGGGCGAAAGCCUGACGGAGCAACGCCACGUGAGUGAUGAAGGUCUUCGGAUCGUAAAACUCGGUUAUUAGGGAAGAACAUAUGUGUAAGUAACUGUGCACAGCUUGACGGUACCUAAUCAGAAAGCCACGGCUAACUACGUG
This 497-nucleotide ribosomal RNA is filed under the name uncultured bacterium. RNAcentral describes it as "partial 16S ribosomal RNA". It matches the Rfam family "Bacterial small subunit ribosomal RNA", at positions 28 to 507 of the family's 1533-position model. The record is from RNAcentral.